This 253-nucleotide ribosomal RNA is filed under the name uncultured bacterium. RNAcentral describes it as "partial 16S ribosomal RNA". It matches the Rfam family "Bacterial small subunit ribosomal RNA", at positions 524 to 776 of the family's 1533-position model. The record is from RNAcentral.
GACAGAGGGGGCAAGCGUUGCUCGGAAUUACUGGGCGUAAAGGGCGCGUAGGCGGGAUGGCGAGUCGGUCGUGAAAUCCUUCGGCUCAACCGAAGAACGUCGAUCGAUACUGCUGUUCUUGAGGGUUGCAGAGGAGACUGGAAUUCCCGGUGUAGCGGUGAAAUGUGUAGAGAUCGGGAGGAACACCGGUGGCGAAGGCGGGUCUCUGGGCAAUUCCUGACACUGAGGCACGAAGGCCAGGGGAGCAAACGGG